CUUGAGAGCGGCGGACGGGUGAGUAAUACCUAGGAAUCUGCCUGGUAGUGGGGGAUAACGUUCGGAAACGGACGCUAAUACCGCAUACGUCCUACGGGAGAAAGCAGGGGACCUUCGGGCCUUGCGCUAUCAGAUGAGCCUAGGUCGGAUUAGCUAGUUGGUGAGGUAAUGGCUCACCAAGGCUACGAUCCGUAACUGGUCUGAGAGGAUGAUCAGUCACACUGGAACUGAGACACGGUCCAGACUCCUACGGGAGGCAGCAGUGGGGAAUAUUGGACAAUGGGCGAAAGCCUGAUCCAGCCAUGCCGCGUGUGUGAAGAAGGUCUUCGGAUUGUAAAGCACUUUAAGUUGGGAGGAAGGGCAGUAAAUUAAUACUUUGCUGCUUUGACGUUACCGACAGAAUAAGCACCGGCUAACUCUGUGCCAGCAGCCGCGGUAAUACAGAGGGUGCAAGCGUUAAUCGGAAUUACUGGGCGUAAAGCGCGCGUAGGUGGUUUGUUAAGUUGGAUGUGAAAUCCCCGGGCUCAACCUGGGAACUGCAUCCAAAACUGGCAAGCUAGAGUAUGGUAGAGGGUAGUGGAAUUUCCUGUGUAGCGGUGAAAUGCGUAGAUAUAGGAAGGAACACCAGUGGCGAAGGCGACUACCUGGACUGAUACUGACACUGAGGUGCGAAAGCGUGGGGGAGCAAACAGGAUUAGAUACCCUGGUAGUCCACGCCGUAAACGAUGUCAACUAGCCGUUGGGAGUCUUGAACUCUUAGUGGCGCAGCUAACGCAUUAAGUUGACCGCCUGGGGAGUAC
This 800-nucleotide ribosomal RNA is filed under the name uncultured bacterium. Its description in RNAcentral is "bacterial SSU rRNA". It matches the Rfam family "Bacterial small subunit ribosomal RNA", at positions 88 to 883 of the family's 1533-position model. The record is from RNAcentral.